UUGAUGGAAUACGGGAUAGGGAGUGUCAAGAGCCUAAGCUUGGGGAUGCCCAAGGACCCAAUCCAUAUUCAAGGAUACCAAAGAGCCUAAGCUUGGGGAUGCCCCGGAAGGCAUCCCCUCUUUCGUCUUCAAUCCAUCGGUAAAUUUACUUGAGGCUAUAUUUUCAUUCACCACAUGAAAUGUGUUUUGCUUGGAGCGUAUUGUAUGGUAUGAUUCUUUACUUUUUAGUUUGACACAAUCAUCCUUGUUGCACACAUCUUUUGAGAGAGACACGCUGAAUCGUGAAUUUAUUAGAAUACUCUUUGUGCUUCACUUAUAAAGGUAUUCUAAACCAUAUAAAGUGCAUCAAAAACAUAUAAAGGUAUUCUAAUCAUAUAAAGUGCAUCAAAAACAUAUAAAGGUAUUAUAAAGGAAGAUAUGAGAAGGUGCCCUCCAACUAUUUCCCUUAGGCUCUCAAGUCGAGUGUGAGAUCGUGGCUGAUGCAACUGCAAGAGAAUUCCAUUGCGUCAUGGGAUGACGUGUGCAAUGAGUUCAUUGGCGCCCUCACGGGUGGACACCAGGAGCCAGGACAGCCCAGCGACUUGCAGGUCCUCCCGCGGAAGGAGGGUGAAACCUUGCGAAAAUGCAUCUAUAGAUUAAGCAGAGUACAUCGCAACAUUUCGAAGAUACACCCCGCAGACGUGAUUGCCGCGUUCCACUCGAACGUGCGCAACAGGAGAAUGUCGGCCAAGAUGAAAUUCAAACUCCUGAAGACCGUCAACGAUCUGUACAUGUUGGCGGACAAGUGUGCUCGCGCCGAAGAAGGAAGGUGAAUCCUCGGAGAGGAAGUGGGCAUUGAAGUCGACUCCGAUGAGGACGAUGAUGCCCCUGGAUCUAAGGAGAGGAAUCGAAAGUGCAAUAAGAAGCGCAAGGGAAAGGCAGUGUUGGCCGUCGAAGGCUCUGACAGUGUCAACACCGACAAGAAGGCGAAAGCCGAGACCCCCGGCAAGGGAGCUGCUUCGUGCGCUGAUUGCCUGGAGGCUGCCGCGACAGAGAAGGCCGGAAAGUUUGAUGGGACAUACUGCAAGAUCCACCGCACCAAGGCCACGAUCUCCACGAAUGCCGCCAAGUCGAGCAGCUUACUGAGAAGCGGAAGGCUGAAUAUGAGAAGUGCGACAAGGAGAAGGGCCAAGAUAAUGCUGCUAGGAAGGCCGCUGCAGAAAGGCUCCGCAAUAGAAGGAAAAACCUUCCAGAGUCCGUGAGAGGAAAGUAGACGACGACACAAGUGACAGCGAAGACGAUGGGGAGGAUUCCAGCGACAAGGAGUUCCAGAAGGCAACCGAUGCCAUGUGUUUUGACGGGGGUGCGUCCUUGCACUCCUCUUGCCGCUAGCUCAAACAAUGGGUGCACGAGGUUAACGCCAUGGAGCUAGCGGUAGAGCCUCGAAGACCACUCGAGUGGUCCUGCACGCCUAUCAUAUUCGACAGAGAGGAUCAACCUGACCGUGUUAUCAUGGUCGGGUGUUAGCCGAUGUUGGUCUCCCUGACAGUCCGCAACCUCAAGGUCAGCAAGCUGUUAGUUGACAGCGGGGCAGGGAUGAAUCUGAUUCUCCCAAGGUGGUGAAGAGACUACAGAUCCCCGACAGUGAGCUAAAGCCGACAGGUUCACUCCAAGGGAUCAACCCCGACAGAGGCUAGCUAAAGGGAAAGAUAACUUUGCUUGUUAUAUUCGCUGGAGAGCUCAACUACCGGACCGAAAAGGUCAUAUUCAAUGUGGUCGAGCUCUCCCUGCCAUACAAUGGAAUCCUUGGGCGCCUGGCCUUGGCAAAAUUCAUGGCAACAUCCCAUUAUGCAUGCAAUGUCUUGAAGAUGCCAGGCCCCAUGGGAGUAAUCUCCAUCCCGUCCGACAAGAAGGAUGCCGUCAUUUGCAUAGAUCAGAUGUUUCGAGAUGCGGUGGCAGCUGAAACCGCAGGAGAAUUCGCUCCCGCCACAAGCCAGAAGAAGAAGUAGAAGUCCAGCGGAAGCACCGACAAGGACUCCGGGAAGAGCGCCUACGCGGAGUGCGCUGCACCCGUCGAUGACCUUUUGGAGAGCUGUGCCGGCUGGAAGUCCAAAGUCUCCUACCCUGCGAUGAAGAAGGUCCCGACAAGGGAGGAUGGCUCGAUGGAACAUUCACCAUCAACGCCAACCUUAGUGACAAAUAGGAAAGCACGCUCAUUGCCUUUCUUCGGGCGAAUAUCGAUGUGUUUGCGUGCCAACCUUCCAACGUCUCUGGUGUUCGCAGAGAGGUAACUGAGCACCACCUUCCUGUGUGCCCUCAUGCCAGACCCGUCAAGCAGAAGUUUAGAAAGCAUGCCUUGGAGAGGCAACAAUUUAUCACCGAGGAAAUCAAGAAGGUGGAAGCGGAUGGUUUGGUUCGAGGAGUACUACAUCCAACGUGGUUAGCUAACCCGGUAGUGGUACGCAAGGCGAAUGGGAAAUUGAGGCUUUGUGUUGACUUUACAAACUUACACAAAUCAUGCCCGAAGGACCCAUUUCCCUUGUCGUGCAUUGAUCAGAUAGUUGACGCCACUUCUGGGUGCGACCGGCGUUCCUUCCUGGACGCGUACUCCGGAUGUCACCAGAUUUUCAUGGCCAAAGAGGAUGAGGAAAAUACCUCGUUCAUAACCCCAUGCGGCACGUACUGUUUUGUACGAAUGCCCUUCCAGUUAAAGAGUGUUGGCUCUACCUUUGCCAAGGCUGUGCAAAUCAGAUUUAGACCCCAGCUCCACAGGAACGUGGAAGCAUACAUGGAUGACAUAGUGGUUAAGACGAGGGACGAAGCCACCCUUAUGCAAGACCUAGAAGAGACCUUUGUGAACCUGCGCAAGAUGAACCUUAAGCUCAACCCUGAGAACUAUGUGUUUGGUGUCCCGUUCAUCAAGCUGCUUGGGUUCUUUGUGUCUCAGCAAGGGAUUCAAGCCAACCCCGACAAGAUCAAGGCCAUCGAGCAGAUACAAGCCUCCAAGAUAGUCAAGGACGUGAGUCACCUGACCGGAUGUGUUGCCGCGUUGAGUACAUUCAUCUCCAAAUCCGCUGAACGGGCCUUGCCGUUCUUCAAGAUCUUGUAGAAGGCCGACCCGAUGAAGUGGACCCCGGAAGCAGAGGCGGCGCUGCAAGAUCUGAAAACAUACCUCUCUUCCGCUCCCACCUUGGUCGCUCCCAAACUGCAAGAGCCGUAGCUGCUAUACCCGGCGGCAACGAAUCAAGUGGUUAGCGCGGCUUUGGUGGCACAACGGGGAUGGAUGAGGAUGCAGCCCCCGCGGAAGACGCUAUCAGGGAUGAAGCCAAAAUAUACACGACAACGCCCAACACUAUCUUAGAAGAAACCCCGCAGGCUAGCAAUGAGGGCUCCAAGGAGUUGGCGAAGAAGAAGGUGGUGCAGCGGCCAAUGUACUUUGUGAGCUCCCUAUUACACGGGGCUAGAUCAAGGUACUCUGGAGCGCAAAGGCUGAUCUUCGAACUCAUCAACGCCUCGAGGAAGUUGCACCACUACUUAGAAGCCCAUGAGAUCACGGUUGUCACCCGCUUCCCACUUCAACGCAUGUCGAGGAACCCCGAAGCCACGGGCACGAUAGUCGAGUGGGCGCUAGAGCUGUCAAGUUUUGGGCUGAAGUACGAAAGCACUUCCACCAUCCAGAGCAGAGCACUAGCAGAGUUCGUUGUCGAAUGGACGCCCACACCAGAUGAAGAAGUUCAAGAAACCACUCUCCUCGACAGGGAAACACCCAAGGAAUGGGUAAUGUACUUUGAUGGUGCCUUCUCACUCCAGGGUGCCGGGUAGGUGUGCUCCUCAUCGUCCCCACCAGAUAAUACCUCAAGUACGUGGUCUAAAUGCACUUUCCCCGGGAAGAAGCUGCCAACAACACCGCUAAGUAUGGAGGGCUCCUCGCGGGACUCAGAAUUUUGAUGGAGUUGGGGAUCAAGAAGAUGAUCAUUAGAGGGGACUCUCGGCUUGUGGUGAAGCAGGUCAAUAAGGAUUAUUAGAGCCCGCUGAUGGAGGCAUACGUAGAGAAAGUGAGGAAGUUGGAGGAACAUUUUGAUGGGCUACAGGUAGAACAUGUGCCACACGUAGAAAACAACAUUGCCGAUCACGUGUCGAAGUGUGUCGCGUAGAAGCUUCCUGUGGAACCACGGGUUUUUGUCCCUCACCUCUUUCAACCCUCUGUGUACCCCUCAACAGUGAUCAAGAAGAGAACAAAACCAAACUCCGGCAAGCAUUUCCCGGCAGUGCUUCCUGAAGCCCCCGGUAGAGAAGCUGUCGGAGGCGGUUCCGUUUCACCUGGUGAGCUUCUCCCUCCCGCGGAACCCCAGGUCCUCGCGGUAGACGCAAGCACUCCCACGAACGCGAAGAUGCCUUUAGUCCUGCCGUCGAUCCACAGGCUCCAGCUUGGGCACAACACAUCGUCCAAUUCCUUUAGACAUGAACUUCCCAAAGAACAAGAAGAGGCCGAUAGAGUAGCCCGCCGAUCUAGUAUGUACCGAUUUUUUGACGACACUCUAUACAGAAGAAGACCCAAUGGUAUGAAAUUGAGGUGCAUCUGUCUGGAAGGGCUAAGGCUGUUGGUGGAGAUUCACGGAGGCAUAUGUGGGUCACACAUAGGAUCAAGGACCCUUGCCGGGAAAGCUUUCCACCAGGGUUUCUAUUGGCCCACAACCCACCAAGAUGCGACUGAGCUAGUCAUCGAAUGUGAAGCCUACCAAUUCCAUGCCAAGAAUGUACAUUAGGUAGCGCAAGCCCUCCAGACGAUCCCUCUAUCCUUGCCACGCUGUCGGGGGUUUCGAGUUCUUGUACGUAGCAAUCGACAAGUUCACGAAAUGGCCUGAGGUAGAGCCAGUGAGAAAGGAGACCGCGCAAUCAGCUAUCAAGUUCAUGAAGGGAAGGUGUGCCGCUUUAGAGUACCCAAGAGAGUAAUCACUGACAAUGACACCCAAUUCACGAGCCAGACAUACAUGUAGUACGUCCAAAGCCUUGGGAGCAAGGUCUCCUUCGCCUCUAUUGCACACCCAAGGAGGAACGGACAAGUCGAGAGGAUGAAUGCUGAAGUGCUGCGAGGGCUCAAAACGAGAACUUUUGAUAGACUGUAGAGAUGCGACAAGCGCUGGAUUGAUGAGCUACAAGUGGUUCUUUGGUCCCUGAGAACAACACCAAAUCGAGCUACCGGCCAGACACCUUUCUCCCUAGUAUAUGGGGCAGAAGCAGUUAUCCCCACUGAACUCAUAUAUGGGUCACCUCGAGUGCUUUCCGACGAUGAAAUGGAGCAACCGCAGCUACGGCAUGAUGAUGCCACUCUCCUCGAGGUAGAUCGUCUUCGGGGUGCUAUGUGUGUUGCACGCUACCAGCAGGCCCUGCGCUGCUAUCAUAGCCGCAGGGUCCAUGCCCGGAGCUUUGAGGAAGGCGACCUUGUCCUUCGGCGUGCUAAGUCCGCCAAGGGUUCCAACAAGUUGACACCGAAGUGGUGUAGGAUUGAAAGUAUGUCUAGAGGGGGGUGAUUAGACUACUUGACAAGAUAAUUUUUUGUCUUUUCCCAAUUUUAGUUGAGAGGCAGCUUUGGCAGUUAUAGCAAGUCAAGUACACCUUACACAUGCAGUUCUAAGAGUAUAGCAGUAGAAAGUAAAACAUGCAAGUUAAAGUAAAGGAGUAAGGUAGGGAGAUCAAAUGCAUGAGGUUGAAACGGCGAUUUUUGGCAUGGUUCUGAUAGGUGGUGCUAUCGUACGUCCAUGUUAGUUGAGACUUCAACCCACGGAGAGUAACGGCUGCGAGAGUCCACGGAGGGAUACACACACAAGGGGUCCACGAAGAAGCGGCCUUGUCUAUUCCACCACGGCUUCCACCCACGAAGGACUAGCUUUACUCACGGUAGAUCUUCACAAAGUAGGUGAUCUCCUUGCCAUUACAAACAUCUUUGUUCAACUCCACAACAUGAAGUACGAGGCUCCCAAGCGACACCUAACCAAUCUAGGAGGCACCACCCUCCAAAAGGUAAUAGAUGGGGGUAGAUCAAUGAACUCCUUGCUCUUGUGCUUCUAAAGAUAGUCUCCUCAACAGUAAAUCACUCUCUCAGAGAAUAUGCAUGGCGAGGAGAGAUUAAUUUGAUGGAAAGCAGUUUGGGGAGGCUAGAGAUCAAGUUCCAAAUGAUUGAAUUGGAAUAUCUUGGUCUCAACACAUGAGUAGGUGGUUGAAUCUUAGAAAAUGGAUCUCGCAAUGAAGUGUGUGUUCUGAGUGCUUCUCCCACAAGUGAGAGGUGGGUGAAGGGGUAUAUAUAGGCAGCACACAAAAUCCAACCGUUACACCUAAAGUGGCAAACUUGGUGACACCGAAGUUACAAACUCGGUGGUACUGAUUAGCAUAAAAGGUCGAACUUUUCAAUCUCGGUGGGACCGAUAUAUACAACUCGGUGGCACCGAAACAAUGGCUAACGGUCAGACACCCAAACUCGGUGGCACCGGUACUCAAACCCAGAAAUUCUGAUUUUAUGUAUAUUGGCGAGAAAAUGUUGGUCACCCUGAACUCGGUAGCACCGAUAUGGAUUCGGUUGCACCAAUUUGGUAGGAAUGCAUAGGGUUUCUGUCUGAGGUCAAACUCGGUGGGUCCAAAAUGUGGAAGUUGGUGACAUCGAAUUUGAGUAUGUGGAAUUUGACAAAAUGGAUAUGUGGGAAAAUGACUGAGUAUUUUGGUGGCUAACUUUGAGCACUUUGAGCAAUCAGUUCAUUUUACUACCUCACCCCCUUUUAAUAGUAUUGGCUUUCCUAUGGACUCAAAAGUGAUUUCUCACAAAUAUAAAAUGAGGAGUCUUCUAGCUUGAAUCGUGAGCCAAUAUUAUUCCUUUCUUGCAUCAAGGGGCAUUUCCACAUAAGCCUUUAGCCAUAGCAUCUUUUGAACUUUUCCGAAAUACUUUGAAAACAUAGUAUUCCAAUGCAUAUGUUGUGAUCAAUUAUCAAAACUACCCUAGGGAGCAAUUGUGCUUUCAAUCUCCCCCUUUUUGGAAUUUGAUGACAACAUAUAGAUCAAAGCUUCGACAAAAGAUAUAAUCAAUGAUUAGCAUCGACACAUUGAGAAGUAUGUGAAAAGCAAGAGCUCCCCCUAAAUUUGUGCAUUAUUUAAAAUUUGCGUUUGAAUGCAAAUGCACAAUCGAUUAGGAUCCUGGGUUACUCUUUCAUGUCACAUACAUCUUGGUGGUGCGCAUACAAGAUAAGAAUGAAUAGCAAUGCACAUGACACCAACAAGAUAAGUGGAUGAUCAUCACAUAGAUAGCUAAAAGGACAAUAUCGUAGCAUCAACCAGGUAAAGCGUAUGAUCAAACAUAGGUAACAAGAUAAAGUCAUCCAAAACACCAAAGUUUUUGAAACCAAAUGAGAGCAAAUAAAUUCAAACGCUCUCUCUCAGUCUAUGAUCUAUACAUCUCUCCCCCUUUGGAAACAAGUUACCAAAAAGUUCAAAAAGUAUAGAACUACUCGUCUCUCUGGGCGGCUGAUCACGGAGUCGACAAAAGAGCAUCCACGAAGGCAUCUAUUGAGUGUCCUGUAGCUGGAGGAGUGGAUACUGGAGGUGCUUGAGCUGGAGCUGGUGCUGACAGUGCUGAUGCUUGAGCUGAAGAUGUUUGUCUUGUCUCAUGAGCAGGAACAACAGUUGAUCUAAGAUGAGUGUUGAACCGUGUGGUGGUGGGAGGAGGUACUCUUCUUCAUCAUCUGAGCGCGGGAUCCCCACUGAGUCAACUUCAUGUUGAAGCUGUUUGACAAUGGUGGUCAACUUAGUAACCUUCACAUCCAUGUCAUGGAACUUAGUUUCCACGACCCUCUCAAGGCUUUUCUGGCUUUGCAGUAUCUCCUGAUUGUUGUUCUCCAUGCCUUGGACAGAGCUAGCUAGAAAUGUCAUCUUCUCAGCUUGAGUUUUGAGCUGUGGAACUGGCGGUGGCUCAUUUCUAGCAGCUUCAUCAUCUCCUGCCUGUGCUGCCAUCCUUGCUGCAGCUGAGCUGGGAUCAUUGUCAUCCAUCACCACUUCAUUGUCUUAAAAUUCUAGGUGAAGAGGCAAAUGGGGACGAUCAAGUAUAUAUGCAUGCUUUCUUAGCUUGGCAUUGAUAAGCAUCUGAAUGUAAGGGGCAUAUUCACACGAUCUUUUCUGAUCAGUAGCAGUCCUCCGGAUAGUCUCUACUAUCAAAUCCAUCACUCUGAAUCUAGUGUGAGAGUCCAAAUGGUGCAACAGAUUGAUGGAGUGUCCUCGAAUCAUCCUAUCAUCACCUGAUUUAGGCAUCAAGAUGUGUCUCAGAAUAGUGUUAGUGGUGGGUAUCCCUGCUUGCAAAAAGUACACUAAGCCCAUCUUGUGACUAGCCAAAUACUUGUGAGGAAUUGGCUUGUACAUAUUUUUCAUGGUUUUGUGGCUCAUCUUCUCUUCAGAAUACACAUCCACAUCACUCUCUUUCUACUUGGGGGGCACCAAUGAUAGUGGCCCACUCAUCAAUCGCAGAUUCAUAUUUGUGACCAUCGGUCAUCCAUACCAAAGAACCAUCUCCAUAGAAAUGAACAGUUGAGUAAAAUUGCAUGAUUAGCUCAUCAUUCCAUGGGGUCAUCUCUUUACCAACAAAGUAUUCAAUGUCCACUAGCCUGAGAUUUUCUUGGACACGGGGAAAGUAAUUCUCAUUCUCCUUGAUAUAUUCCCAGUCAACAUACCUCAUAUCACUGACAGCUAGACUCUUGUCAAACAAGAGAGUCUCAUAAAAUCUUGUUGUUCCUUGGUGUGAAACCUUGGAUCAACAACAAUUCUUCUUCUGGCAGCAUAUGGGUCAACAACUCUCCACUUGCUCAAUCCGGCAUCCUUCCUCUUCCUCACAUCCUCUGCUACUAGGUGAGCAACAUUGUGAAUUGACAGGGUUGGUCCGAGCUUCCUGAGAACUGGUGCAUUCUCGUCUUCUACCUCCUUUAUAGCAGGGCCACUGGAUGCACGGUCUUUCUCCUUGGCAGUUGCAGGAAUAUCCUUUGUAGUCUUCCUUCGAGGUACAACCUUCUUUGCCUUGGCAGGAGGCUUAGGAGUAGAUUUCAUGGCAUCGGCCAUAAGCUUCUUCUUAGGAGGAGGAGCUGGGAUCUCAUCUUCACUAGCAUAUUCUUCAGGGUCUUCAUACAUGGAAGUCCUUCUCCCAACAAGAUAAACUAUCUAUUUCCCGGGCCUCUUCACACCAGCCUUCUUGGCAAGUUUGUCAGUGGAAAGUGAUGUGCUCUACCUUGCAGAUUCAGGUGCUCUUAGAUAAGCAGGCUUAGCGUACUCUUUCCUCACAGUCUUCCUUGGAUCCUUAAGAGGGGCUGAAAUUUCCUCCGGCACAAAGUCCGAGUCUUCUUGAUCGGAAUUCAGUUUCUUCCUCUGCCUGGUGGCUGCCUUGGGCAAGCCAUGGGAGCUGUAGGAUCCAAGGUCAGAGUCAGACUUCUUUGGACUAGUGCGUGAGUCCAUCUCAACAAUGGGCUCUAUGAAAUCAUUCUGGAUAUCAUCUGAUUUAGACAUCUUGGCACACAGACAAAAACUCAGAACCAAACAACAAAACCUGUGAAUUAGAUAUAGGAAAGACAGAAGGGUUGAGCAUCACAAAAUUGAGAUGUUUUUGGAAAAAAUGAAUAAAGAAAUCCUUAGUUUUAGCUUUCUGCAGAUCACAUUUUGGUGUCAUCGAGUUUGAAUUUUCGUAAUCACUGAGACAGAUGAACUCCUUAACAUAAACUUGGUCAUCACUUUCGGUGGCACUGAAAGUGACAACUCGGUCUCACCGAGUCCAUUCUCAGUAACCCUAGAUUCCAAAUCGGUCUGACCGAGUUUUGCAACUUGGAGGCACCGAGAUGGGUUCUGCGGACGGCUAACCGUAAAAACUUCCUCGUUCUCUAAUCUAUAGGAGCAUCUGGUGGAUGGAGAGAUUACACAUUGUGUCUUGUGGAUAAAACUUCUAAUGCACACGAGAUUGAUUGGGGAGGCGCAAAUGAAAGGGGCAAAUCCAUACCCUAAGUCAGCGACGGUCCGACUAUGGCGGCGAUGAUGGUGAAGAAUCCAUCGGCGACGGCGAUUCCCAGUGGCGGAGACGCACGGGGAGUCAAGGGCGAUGACCAGGGGUCCAGGGGGCAACGUAAGGUUUGAGACAAAACGACUUUGACAAACUGAAAUCAAAGAUUCGGUCCUUUGAAAUAUAUACCCUUUUGGUGUCGGUGUCACUGAGAUUACGAAAUCAGUGUCACCGAGUUCCCGUGCUAUUAGUUGAUAGGGAAACUUGGUGUAACCGAGUUUGUGACUUCGGUGGUACCGAGAUGGAAAAACCAGAUCAGCUUUGGAAAUUCGGUGGAACAGAUUUUGUGAAGGUGGUCUCACCGAAAUUUUCAAAGAGGUUUUGGAUGUCAGCCUUUGAAGAUACGGAACUCCGAGUGCACCUUCACACAGAGGGAUCGACAAGUGCUUGUUCAAGUUUUGUGAUGAAGCAUGAAUAGAACUUGAGAUGAGAUAACAUAGAUAGCUAGAGAAGAGUCCUAGGCAAUCUUGCCCAUCCAAUUGGCAAAAGAUAAAUAAAGAUCCAAAUAACAACAAUUGAAUGUCCUUGAAUGAGCAAACACAUGCAGACCAACAUGCUCACACAAUAAGAAUAGUAGAGAAAGUAUGGUGAACAUGCACAAACAUCCUAGCAGCUAUCAAGCACUUGGGUGAUGACAAAGUCAUCUAUAUAUUUCGUAUAUUGGCUUAGAAGGCAAGUAAGAUUACUUGAUCAUAGGUCAUACUCAUCGUUAAGCACAAGUGGGGUUACCACUUUUACAUAAGCAUUAAUGUGUUCAUAUCCUUAGGAGAUGCUUAUACUCAAGAUUUAGAGUAGAGCUCCCCCUUGAUAUGACAUCCCCCCUAAGAGGGAUCAACUAACCUUGGGUUUUGUUGUAGAAGACUUCAAGUAGGUGAAGUAGUGAUGAAUGCUCAAUGUUGAUGAAGAUCAUCUUGAGUUGGGAGCCAUUCUUGUUGUUUCUUACUCUUCUCACCUACAUGGUUUAGUCCCAAAGCAAGAUGAACAUAUGCAAGAAUAACUAUGGACAUGGAGUGAAACACAUAUGGGAUGAUGUCUAGAGAUGCAUUAAUUACCUUGUCCCUUGCUUACCAUUGAGGGAUUGUGUGACUCCUCGAGCUCAUGCAUAUGGUUGAGGUUGAUUGCAUAUAGUUCUUGCCAAAAUGAAUAAGAGUGAAUUUCAUUGGCGGAGUCACCCCUCAAGAACUUCCUAGUUCUUCCUCUUGGGGAUCCACAUCAAAUUGAUGGGAAUCCUUGGAGUUGUGGUAGCACUUGUUGAGGUAUAGCUAGUAGUGUCUUCGGGAACCCACUUGACCUUGGCUUGGGGUUCUUCUUUAAAUAGGUUAAUGUAAUCUUGAAGCUUUCCCUUGCCUUUGUGGUCUUGUGGUAGAAGGCCAUCUUGUGAGCUUCUUCCUUCGGGAGGAGUAGGAUCACACUUCUCUUCUUGGGGAACAAACUUAGGAAUGGGGUAUAGACCUGCUUCCCAAUCAUCUCCAUUGAUGUUGAAGUAGCCAACACCUUGCUUCUUCCGAUGUCCUCCUUGCUUGCGCACAAUUUCCUCAAAUUGUUUACUUCUAACAAGAUUCUUGAAGGCACCUCCCUAUAUAAUCCCUUUCAAUAGAUCGUUUUCUUGCUCAAGUGUAGCUUGGUUAAGAGAAUCAUUAAUGGAUUCAAUAGAGCUACUAGCAACAACAUUAUUGGAUUUAGCUUUAGCAUUGUUAUUACUAGAUGAAGAAACUUUCUUGCCUUUGUUACUAGUGUUCUUAGGUUUAACUUGUUGAACAAAAUUAUACAAGAGUAAUCAUUUGGCUAGAUAAGAAGAACUCUUGUUUCGAAGAUCGUCAUUGAUCGCUUUUAAGAACUCAUUCUCUUGCUCCAAGUUGAGAUUCUCGAAGCGUAGCUUCUCAUGGGUUCUUGCAAGAUCUCUAUGAUCUUCUAGAGUAGUCUCAUGAGCUAUCUUAAGAGUUUUUAAUUCUUGAGUUAGUCAUUCAAUUUCUUUCUUAUCAUCAUCACCUGAUUUCUCUUGACUAGCAUGAUAAUUAGCAAGUUAAUUUUCAUUGCAAUCAGUAGUUUUAUCAAAGAGCAAGUCAUAUUCUCCUAACAAGUCAUCCUCGUCACUAUUGAAAUCAAGAUACUUGGGGUGUGAUACCUUGGGUACUUUAGCCAUGAAGCAGUUUCCGAACCCGUCAUUUGGUGAGUCAAAUAGGUCGUAGGAGUUGGAGGAGAAAAGUGCAAUGCCAGCAACACCUUCAUCUUGACUAUAGUCGGAGUUGGAGCGAUAGCUUCUCUCGGAAUGGUGAUCAGACUCGAGUCAGUAACCCAUUCAUCAACAUGAGCUUGAUGUAUUCUUCUUGAGCUGCUCUUGGUGUAUUUGUCCUUCUUUUCCGAUUCUUUGCCUCUCCGUGAGUGUCUUCGUUCAUAGUGAUGCUCUCUACUCCUUCUCUCUCUACGAGGUGACUCAUCUCUUGAGCUUCGUCUUCGAGGUGACUCUUCUCUUCGUUUGUAGGGAGCUGAGAAUUCGUUGGAGUAGUGUCCGGGCUUCCCACAAUUGUAGCAGUAUCGAUCACAACUGGACGAAUGCUUCUCAUCAUGUCUUGAGCUUGAACUUCUCUCUUUGCCUCUACUCUUGUAUAACUUGUUGAAUUUUCUGACCAUGAGUCUUAUCUCUUCAUCAGUGACAAGAUUGUCCUUCGAAGUAAGGGGAGCAUCACAUGAAGCAUUGUAAGCACCGCUUGACUUGUUGUGCAGCUCAUCUUUGUCCUUGAGUGACAUCUCAUGAGCAACAAUCCUACCAAUGACUUCAGUUGGCUUGAGAUCUUUGUAGUUUGGCAUCAUUUGGAUCAAUGUGCACACUGUGUCAUACUUUCCAUCAAGAGCUCUAAGUAUCUUCUUGAUAAUGAAUUUGUUAGUCAUCUCUUCGCUUCCUAAGCCGGCAAUCUCAUUGGUGAUGAGAGCUAGCCUAGAGUACAUUUCAGCGAGAACUUCACCAUCCUUCAUCUUGAACUUGUCAAGCUAGCUUUGAAGCACAUCCAACUUAGAUUCUCUGACGGAAUCAGUACCUUCGUUCAUAUCAACCAAAGUAUCCAAAAUUUCUGUUGCAUUCUCAAGACGACUAACUUUGUUGAAUUCUUCGGGGCAUAGACAGUUGAAGAUGAUGUCGCAGGCUUGAGCAUUAAGUUGCAACAUCUUUAGUUCAUCAGUUGUCGCAUCACGAUCAGGUUCUUGUCCUUCACCAAAGAAGUUACCUUGCACACCAACACGAAUAACAACCCAAACACGGGGAUUAAAGCCAAUAAUAUGCAUUUUCAUCUUAUGCUUCCAACUAGCAAAAUUAGUGCCAUCAAAAUAUGGACCUCUACGGUGAUAAUUUUCCUCACUAGAUGCCAUACUCUCCUAGGUUGUGAAACCAAUGCAAUAGAGACCAAAGAUCUCAUAUCACUUGUAGGACCAGAAGUAUGUCUAUGGGGGGGGGGGUGAUUAGACUACUUGACAAGAUAUUUUUUGCCUUUACCCAAUUUUAGUUGAGAGACAACUUUUACAGUUAUAUCAAGUCAAGUACACCCUACACAUGCAGUUCUAACAGUAUAGCAGCGGAAAGUAAAACAUGCAAGUGGAAAGUAAAGGAGUAAGGUAGGGAGAUCAAACGCAUGAGGUUGACACGAUGAUUUUUGGCAAGGUUACGAUAGGUGAUUCUAUCAUACAUCCAUGUUAGUGGAGACUUCAACUGACGGAGGGUAACGACUGCGAGAGUCCACGGAGGGCUCCACCAACAAGGGGUCCACAAAGAAGAGGCCUUGUCUAUUCCACCAUGGCUUCCGCCCACGAGGGACUAACCUUACUCAUGGUAGAUCUUCACGAAGUAGGCGAUCUCCUUUCCCUUACAAACAUCUUAGUUCAACUCCACAACACGAAGUAGGAGGCUCCCAAGCGACACCUAACCAAUCUAGGAGGCACCACCCUUCAAAAGGUAAUAGAUGGGGUAGAUCAAUUAACUCCUUGCUCUUGUGCUUCUAAAGAUAGUCUCCUCAACACUAAAUCAUUCUCUCACAGAAUAUGCAUGGGGAGGAGAGAUUGAUUAGAUGGAAAUCAGUUUGGGGAGGCUACAAAUCAAGUUUCAAAUGAUUGGAUUGGAAUAUCUUGGUAUCAACACAUGUGUAGGUGGUUCUCUCUCAGAAAAUGGAUUUGGCAAUGAAGUGUGUGUUCUGAGUGCUUCUCCAACAAGUGAGAGGUGGUGAAGGGGUAUAUAUAGGCAGCGCAAAAAAUCCAACCGUUACACCUAAAGUGGCAAACUCGGUGACACCAAAGUUACAAACUCGGUGGUAUGAUUAGCACAAAAGGCAGAGCUUUUGAAUCUCGGUGGGACCGAUAUAGACAACUCGGUGGCACCGAAACGGUGGCUAACGCUCAAACGCGCAAACUCGGUGGCACCGAUACUCAAACUCGGAAAUUCCAAUUUUGUGUAUCUUGGCAACAGAAUGUUGGUCACCCUGAACUCGGUAGCACCGAUAUGGAUUCGGUUGCACCGAUUUGGUGGGAAUGGCUAGGGUUUCUGUCCGAGGUCAAACUCGGUGGGUCCAAAAUGUGGGAGCUGGUGACACCGAAUUUGAGUAUGUGGAAUUUGACAAAAUGGAUAUAUGGGAAAAUGUUUCAGUGUUUUGGUGGCUAACUUUGAGCAUUUUGAGCAAUCAGUUCAUUUUACUACAUCACCCCCUUUUAAUAGUAUUGGCUUCCCUAUGGACUGAAAAGUGAUUUCUCACAAAUAUAAAAUGAAGAGUCUGAUAGCUUGAAGCUUGAGCCAAUAUUAUUCCUUUCUUGCAUCAAGGGGCAUUUACACAUAAACCUUUAGCCAUAGCAUCUUUUGAACUUUUUUGAAAUAUACUUGGAGAUAACCCUUGUUAUCUUUGCUUUGAGUUUUUACUUUCAGUUUUAGUGGUCUUGAUGCUUGUUACUACUGUAGCAACAUCAUUGUAUCUUUAUUUUUAAGCUUUGUGCCAAGUUAUAGCCUCCGAUUGCAAGAAAGUUCAAAAAUUGUGACAUGCUGUCGAGAAACAGAUUCUGUCUGCUUGAUGAAACAAUUUGCCAAAAAUCACUAGAUCAUCUUUUUGAUCUAAAUUGUUUUGACAACAUGAUCUGUAUAACUGCCUUUAUGGCAUCUGUUUUGAGUUUUUUUGAUUUGAGUUGCAGAAGUGCACCGAAUUAAUUAUUUACUACCUGCUGUUAUGUUUUUCACACAUUUUGCAACGUUUUGCGUUUUCAUCAUUUUGCAGAUCUUAAGCUUGCUUUUGCUUUGCACAAACCUUUUGGCAAUCAUGAAAAAUAGUAGCGUUUCAUGAAAAUCAUUAUUUUCCAGUAGGUAAUGAAUUAUUUUAUUAAGGGUACUAACCACUCUAAUCAGCUUAUGAUGAGUUUCGUAUGAAGGGAGUUUUCAAGUAUGCGAUGGGAGAUGAUGAAAGAAGAUACAUGAGUGUCAAGCGCUCAAGCUUGGGGAUGCCCCCAUGCACCCCAAGAAAUAUUCAAGGAGACUCAAGCAUCUAAGCUUGGGGAUGCCCCCGUGCAUCCCCUUCUCUAUCAACAAUCAUCAGUUCGUCCAUCUCCAUGCUAUAUUUUUAUCACUUUAUAUGUUAUGUGC
RNAcentral lists this long non-coding RNA (15656 nucleotides) under Hordeum vulgare. RNAcentral describes it as "long non-coding RNA (HVUL_LNC015540)". Lineage: Eukaryota; Viridiplantae; Streptophyta; Magnoliopsida; Poales; Poaceae. The record is from RNAcentral.